CUAAGUAAUACAUUGAGGGCAUUGUCCGCAAAAUAUAAAUAAUUCAAUAAAUAAAUAUCAUAAUCGCAAGCUGCUGUGACUAUAUGUUUAUAUUCAGAGCAGCUUGCCUUGGUGAUAUGUGUACUAGAGACAAAAGGGGUUAUUUAUCACAGUGUUCUGUUCUAAGAAGGAUUCACUAAUGGAAUGUGCAUGCUGGUUCCGCUGGUGUCCAAGAUAAUUGCCCCAUGUUUAAUGCUUUAUACCACUUUUUAGAACAGAACCUUUACUUUCUCGUUUAGCAUUCACAAAGUAGGUUUGAAUUAGAGUACCAUGUUAAAAAUUACAAAGCAGCAAUCUAAAAUGGAUACAUUGGACUUUACCAUUUCCUGAAACCAAGACAUGAGGAGUCCAGGUCAUAGCUAUGGUGAAAUAGAUGAAUACUAGUUUAAAAAGCACUAAUGCAGAUUAUUCCAUCCAGGAUAGUUUUCCCCUCAUUUUCAGGAUGCAUCUAUAGGAUCAAGAAAAACAUGUGUUGCUUGUUUUGAACACACCUGCAGACUAUACCUGUAUUAAUGGGUAUGGUUGAGAACCUCAGAAACAACCACUUGGCAGUGCAAACCUUUGCUGUAAAUAUUUUAGAAAUAGG
Non-coding RNA from Pelobates cultripes (western spadefoot toad), 625 nucleotides. The record is from the annotation of a GenBank genome assembly. Lineage: Eukaryota; Metazoa; Chordata; Amphibia; Anura; Pelobatidae.